CAAAGCCUUAGUAGCCUUCUUAGUGUUUGAAUAAACACCUUUGCUUACAAGACUCUGCUGGCUGGUGCUGCAGAGGACCUACUCUAUAAGGUGUGUGCAUGUCUCUGUCCUAUUCACAUUGCCUCUCAAGCAUAGCCUAUUUGCUCAACUGUAAAUUGUAAUGCAUGGUCAUCAAUGCAUUUCUCAACAUGUGAAAUUAUUGAAUACCAUGGUGUCUGGAAAGACAAAGUCUCCCCCUGCUCUUCCUUCUUCAAGAUGUGCUAUGAGUUCUCUUUGCAUACUGAUUCAGACUAACAUGGCUAUAUCUUCGAAUUCUACCUUCAGUCAACUCUAUGUUGGAAACAUGCAAUGUUUUGUACUUUAUAGUAUAGUUUUUCAUUUUAUGUUUACAUUUUCUCAUAAAUAAACUAUAUAAAAUAAAAUUUGAUUUUUUAAAAACAGUAGGAUAAAAAUAAAAUGUGAU
Long non-coding RNA from Anolis carolinensis (green anole), 463 nucleotides. RefSeq lists it as uncharacterized. NCBI's taxonomy places the organism in Eukaryota, Metazoa, Chordata, Lepidosauria, Squamata, Anolidae. The record is from RefSeq and is a predicted model, not a curated record. The transcript has 3 exons.